AUUGGAGGGCAAGUCUGGUGCCAGCAGCCGCGGUAAUUCCAGCUCCAAUAGCGUAUAUUAAAGUUGUUGCAGUUAAAAAGCUCGUAGUUGAUUUUCUGUUAAUUUUUAUGUAUAAUAUUGCGAUAUUUACAUAAUAUUAACAUAAUUCACAUUACUUUACAGUAUGUGGAAUUUUACUUUGAGAAAAUUAGAGUGCUUAAAGCAGGCUAUUGCCUUGAAUACUCCAGCAUGGAAUAAUAUUAAGGAUUUUUAUUCUUCUUAUUGGUUCUAGAAUAAAAAUAAUGAUUAAUAGGAACAGUUGGGGGCAUUUGUAUUUAACAGUUAGAGGUGAAAUUYUUAGAUUUGUUAAAGACAAACUACUGCGAAAGCAUUUGCCAAGGAUGUUUUCAUUAAUCAAGAACGAAAGUUAGGGGAUCGAAGACGAUCAGAUACCGUCGUAGUCUUAACCAUAAACUAUGCCAACUAGAGAUUGGAGGUUGUUCCUUACUCCUUC
This 493-nucleotide ribosomal RNA is filed under the name Cryptosporidium scrofarum. Its description in RNAcentral is "SSU rRNA". Lineage: Eukaryota; Apicomplexa; Conoidasida; Eucoccidiorida; Cryptosporidiidae. The record is from RNAcentral.